Molecule: ribosomal RNA, 405 nt
Filed under: uncultured beta proteobacterium
Lineage: Bacteria; Pseudomonadati; Pseudomonadota; Betaproteobacteria
Description: bacterial SSU rRNA
Rfam family: Bacterial small subunit ribosomal RNA
Source: RNAcentral
AGAGUUUGAUCCUGGCUCAGAUUGAACGCUGGCGGCAUGCUUUACACAUGCAAGUCGAACGGGGUUAAGGGGCUUGCUCCUUAAUCUAGUGGCGAACGGGUGAGUAAUGCAUCGGAACGUACCCGGGAGUGGGGGAUAACGCACCGAAAGGUGUGCUAAUACCGCAUAUUCUGUGAGCAGGAAAGCAGGGGACCUUAGGGCCUUGUGCUUCCGGAGCGGCCGAUGUCGGAUUAGCUAGUUGGUGAGGUAAAGGCUCACCAAGGCGACGAUCCGUAGCGGGUCUGAGAGGAUGAUCCGCCACACUGGGACUGAGACACGGCCCAGACUCCUACGGGAGGCAGCAGUGGGGAAUUUUGGACAAUGGGCGCAAGCCUGAUCCAGCCAUGCCGCGUGUCUGAAGAAGGC